AACUUUCAACAACGGAUCUCUUGGUUCUGGCAUCGAUGAAGAACGCAGCGAAAUGCGAUAAGUAAUGUGAAUUGCAGAAUUCAGUGAAUCAUCGAAUCUUUGAACGCACAUUGCGCCCCCUGGCAUUCCGGGGGGCAUGCCUGUUCGAGCGU
RNAcentral lists this ribosomal RNA (152 nucleotides) under Diplodia pseudoplatani. Its description in RNAcentral is "5.8S ribosomal RNA". It matches the Rfam family "5.8S ribosomal RNA". From Rfam's summary of the family: 5.8S ribosomal RNA (5.8S rRNA) is a component of the large subunit of the eukaryotic ribosome. It is transcribed by RNA polymerase I as part of the 45S precursor that also contains 18S and 28S rRNA. Functionally, it is thought that 5.8S rRNA may be involved in ribosome translocation. Lineage: Eukaryota; Fungi; Ascomycota; Dothideomycetes; Botryosphaeriales; Botryosphaeriaceae. The record is from RNAcentral.